Ipomoea triloba (trilobed morning glory) is the source of this 307-nucleotide long non-coding RNA. RefSeq lists it as uncharacterized. The transcript is spliced from 2 exons. NCBI's taxonomy places the organism in Eukaryota, Viridiplantae, Streptophyta, Magnoliopsida, Solanales, Convolvulaceae. The record is from RefSeq and is a predicted model, not a curated record.
UAGCCCAAUACAAAACACAAAAUAGCAUAGCCCUAAUCCCUGAUCCCUUCUCCGGCUCUCGGCUUCUCUGCAUCGCCAGUUCGCCGCCUCCCACUGCGUCCCAGCGGCCAGUCCACCGCGGUCCACGGCGCUGCGCCGACGCCACCGGCUGUCCACCUCCGGCUUCUGCAUUUCUGCCUCGGCCCUCCGCCCUCGACUUCUCGACACCAGCCACAUUCACCAAAUUCCUACGCUGGUUCUUUGGGUAACAAGUAGAAGAAAAUGGCGCUGGGGCUAUUGCUUGGACUUGCAAGGUCAUCAUUCAGAA